GACGAACGCUGGCGGCGUGCUUAACACAUGCAAGUCGAACGGAAAGGCCCUGCUUGCAGGGUACUCGAGUGGCGAACGGGUGAGUAACACGUGGGUGAUCUGCCCUGCACUUCGGGAUAAGCCUUGGAAACUGGGUCUAAUACCGGAUAGGAGCCAUUUUUAGUGUGAUGGUUGGAAAGUUUUUUCGGUGUAGGAUGAGCUCGCGGCCUAUCAGCUUGUUGGUGGGGUAAUGGCCUACCAAGGCGGCGACGGGUAGCCGGCCUGGGAGGGUGGGCGGCCACAUUGGGACUGAGAUACGGCCCAGACUCCUACGGGAGGCAGCAGUGGGGAAUAUUGCACAAUGGGCGCAAGCCUGAUGCAGCGACGCCGCGGGGGGGAUGACGGCCUUCGGGUUGUAAACUCCUUUCGCUAGGGACGAAGCUUUUUGUGACGGUACCUAGAUAAGAAGCACCGGCUAACUACGUG
This 465-nucleotide ribosomal RNA is filed under the name uncultured bacterium. RNAcentral's name for it is "partial 16S ribosomal RNA". It matches the Rfam family "Bacterial small subunit ribosomal RNA", at positions 28 to 507 of the family's 1533-position model. The record is from RNAcentral.